This 449-nucleotide ribosomal RNA is filed under the name uncultured bacterium. RNAcentral's name for it is "partial 16S ribosomal RNA". It matches the Rfam family "Bacterial small subunit ribosomal RNA", at positions 29 to 523 of the family's 1533-position model. The record is from RNAcentral.
AACGAACGCUGGCGGCAGGCUUAACACAUGCAAGUCGAACGAGAUCUUCGGAUCUAGUGGCAGACGGGUGAGGAACACGUGGGAACAUCCCUUUCAGUUCGGAAUAACGUUGGGAAACUAACGCUAAUACCGGAUACGUCCUUCGGGAGAAAGAUUUAUCGCCGAAAGAUUGGCCCGCGUCUGAUUAGCUAGUUGGUGAGGCAAUGGCUCACCAAGGCUACGAUCAGUAGCUGAUCUGAGAGGAUGAUCAGCCACAUUGGGACUGAGACACGGCCCAAACUCCUACGGGAGGCAGCAGUGGGGAAUAUUGGACAAUGGGCGCAAGCCUGAUCCAGCCAUGCCGCGUGAGUGAUGACGGCCUUCGGGUUGUAAAGCUCUUUUGUCCGGGAAGAUAAUGACUGUACCGGAAGAAUAAGCCCCGGCAAACUUCGUGCCAGCAGCCGCCGUAA